RNAcentral lists this ribosomal RNA (447 nucleotides) under uncultured bacterium. RNAcentral's name for it is "bacterial SSU rRNA". It matches the Rfam family "Bacterial small subunit ribosomal RNA", at positions 355 to 825 of the family's 1533-position model. The record is from RNAcentral.
UGGGGAAUAUUGGACAAUGGGCGCAAGCCUGAUCCAGCCAUGCCGCGUGAGUGAUGAAGGUCUUAGGAUUGUAAAGCUCUUUCACCGGAGAAGAUAAUGACGGUAUCCGGAGAAGAAGCCCCGGCUAACUUCGUGCCAGCAGCCGCGGUAAUACGAAGGGGGCUAGCGUUGUUCGGAUUUACUGGGCGUAAAGCGCGCGUAGGCGGUAUGUCAAGUCGGAUGUGAAAACCCAAGGCUCAACCAUGGAAGUGCAUUCGAAACUGGCAAACUAGAAUCUCGGAGAGGGUAGUGGAAUUCCUGGUGUAGAGGCGAAAUUCGUAGAUAUCAGGAAGAACAUCAGUGGCGAAGGCGACUACCUGGACGAAGAUUGACGCUGAGGUGCGAAAGCGUGGGGAUCAAACAGGAUUAGAUACCCGUGUAGUCCCUGAGCGGGCUGGCAAGGCGCAU